UGGAUCAGAAAUCAGAUCACAUUCUUCCCUCCCUCCUACUUGAGAGUCAUAAUCAAUAGUUUAGAGAAGCACGGUUGCUUUUCUUUCUUAGUUAUCUGAGCCUUCAAAGGAGAAUGAAAUAAUGAAAGAAUACCUGCUGUGUUGCAUAAGUUGGGGGUUUGUCAGUACUUCAGAUAUACAGUAAGAUUAAACUGUGAGUUGUGAGAUGGCAGUAAUAAUACUUCAUAUUUAGUAUGUGAAUAUAUGCCAGGCUUUUGUGUGUGUGGUGUGUAACUAAGGAGAUCGACUGGGUGUGGCUGCAUGACGAGUGGAGGGUAGUCCGUACCGCUGUACACGAUCCUAGCACUUGAGUCAGCGACAAGUGUUUCAUAUGUAUGGCUUUCCUUAAAAAGGUUACCUACUCAAGCCGACUGCACUUACCUUUACACACAUCAAGUUGGUAGGUUAUUCAGCUUUUUUUUUUGCAAAGCUACCUGUAGUGCCAGAUAAUUCUGUAACAGUCUGAAUUGAAUCUCAAACUCAUUGACGUGUGUGUUAGCAAUUGCAAUAAUUUUAUCAGUUACUGCAGUCACGCCAACAUUUCCAUUGUAGUAUGAGACAUUAGUUGGUGUUUAAACUAGGCAUAUUUGUAUUGCCCGGCAUUGUACAACUGUGAAUGUAGUGUUGAUUAAGCAUUGUAGAGUAAGGAACACGUAAAUUAAUUUUCACACUUACCUCUCUCUGAAUAUUUUACUGGUUCUAAAUUAUCUGUCAAUGUGUGUCUGAAGCAUCUGUUGCUAUGGUGGUUUGAUACUAAAUCCAGAAUUAAAAGGCUGUGCAAUAUUGUAAUAAUGAGUUGCCACUUUUUGUUGUAGGGCUGCCUUCUUUGAUUAAUACAUUUUUUUUUUUUUUUGUAAGCAAAGAGUAUAGACUCUGGCACUUCAGUGUAGAAGUCAACCACCCCUUUGGGAAGGGGACUUUUCCUGAUCAAAUGAAGUCAGAAGUAUAUAUCAUAUAAUCUCUCGCAUAUUCAGAUACUGGCCUCUUACUGAGACAAAGUAUUGUAUGUUUUGUGUCUUAAUAGUCCCAUUAAGUCCAAUAAAUCUUGUGAUCUUUAGCAGAACAAUUGCAAAAUAUGGGAGCUAGAAGUGAAGCUAUUUAUGUCAGAUAUUUGUGUUACGUCAGCAGGAACAAAUAUUAUUUCUAUAUAUUUGACUCAUUCCAGAGUCCAGAUAGCAGUAUUAGUGAUGUCACUGAUUUUGUCAUGUGCUAUCAACAGAGGCCUAUUCACUUUAAAAGUUCAAUUAAAUGGCUUAUGUAAAGGGUGGAAUCUCAUUAUUAAUAACCCUCUAUAUCACAAAACCUAGUACUUGAAAUUUGCUGGUUCAUAGUUAGCUCUGGUGUGGUAGAGAAAGCAGGAAGUGUACAGUCUUAUCGAAAGAAGAAGUUACAAAGUAACUGUGAAAAUCACAUUUUCAAAUCACUAUGGAUACAGAUUUUCCAUAGUCAAGAAUCUUUAAAAAGCUAGGAUAAGAGUACUCAUUCAUGAAUGUUAGGUUUUUAAUAUUUUGCAAAUAUUUUGCGUCCUACUCUGUCCCUACGAGCAUGGCACUGAACAUUGCUCUCGGCUCGUGCUGUCUCCUGGCUGGCUGGACAGGAGGACCAGUGAAGUAAGUACAUCACUGUGCCCCGAGCACACGGCCACGUUCCUCCUUGGCUCUGAAUGUGCCACCUAUCAUCUAACACUUUUAAUCUUUAGAGCGCUCAGCAAGUACUACCACUGCCAGGACAAAUAAUACCGCUGUUGUGGCCAGAUGGACAAAUACAUGAUUUCAGCCCUGUUCAGGAAAUAGAUAGUAAAGUUAACUAACUUGCCAAACAUGACAGAAGCAUUUAGAGUCAAGAGAGUAGAGACCACAGUCAAUAGAUACUUGGGCACGUGCUUAAAUUCCUUCCUUUGCACAGAUGUUUAUAUUAUUUGUUUAAAUGUCCUGCUAAGCUUGUGCUAGAAGGCUUCACUCUUCUGAUCCUUGGUGUGAUGCUCCAUCAGCAUAGCUUGUGUUACAAUACUUUAUUUGGAAAAGCUCUCCUAUUGCUCAGUCUUUUCCAUAAGCUACACUUAAACACACAACAAAUUAUUAAUACAUACAAGCAGUUGUCAUGGAGAUAAUAUGGUCCAAGGUGGUUUUUAUUUUUUAAUAAGUGACACAAACUUGGCACAUCCCACAUGCCUUGUACAGACAAUUCCUGCAUAAUGUUUCCUGCGUUAGGCACGGGAUAGAUAUCUAUCUUUGCUUUUUUGUGCCAGCACACUAUGGAGAAACCACUGUUUCUGGCUUUCAAAUGGUUGGCUUUAGGAAUCUGAAAAAUGUAGGACUUGUAAGAGGUGGGGUUUUUUUCAAGUCACAACAUCUUAGCGAGGGGCUGCACUGCUCACUUCUGUGAAAUCUCAAACACAAUGUGAUGGCUGAAUUAUGGCUAAAACCUCUGCAGGAUAUAUUUUCUCUCCUCAUCUUGGUGCAUAGACUUACAGCAAAAUGCAGUAACUAAUCCAAAAGAAGGCAGCUGGCUAAUGUAGCUGGGGAGGCUUCAGGGCCGUAAUGAGGAUCGUUUUCUUUGGAACAAGACUGCAAUCCUAUUAACUGCCUAUAAAUCCAGAAGGACCAAGUGCUGUACCUGCAGACUUAAGGAUAUUAAGCCUGAGCUCUCAGAGAUGUUUUGCCCUUGCUUGUCAUAACAUUUCUGCUCUUUUACUGUGCCCGUGCAAAGUAGUACACAGUGCAUUUCAACCAAUAAGUAGGACUCUUGCCUUUAUUCUGUGCCUUUUUCUUGUCUUGUCCUGGAGAUCCUGGCUUAAGUGUAACUUAAGCCAGGCAGCACCUAACUGAUGUAGCCAUUCUGUAGCCUAUUUAUUUGAGUGAAUGAAAGACAUUCUCUGCAUAUUAUAGCUAUUGUAUUUUUUUUCCAGAUACUUACUCUUCAGGUAAUACUACAUCACAGUUACUGUCAUAAUGACCUUCAUCUGGGCCAAGCAACUAGAGAGUUAAUCUGUAGAAAGACUGCAAAAAAAGGAUUGCAGUAAGAAAAUGUGAGGUAUUCCUCCAUCGCUUUCCUGCCAGCUGGUGCAACUUUUUCUCCACUAAAUCUAAAGAAUGCCAUUGAACAGAGGUUGAAGAAGUACAGCUUUUACUGUCAGUAACACCCCACAACCAACAAGAAAGGAUAUCUGUUUGCAACACUUCAAAGUAAUGCUUGACCUAAGGUAAUUUAUCCUCAGUUCACACCCAGUGAAUGCCAACAAUUGAGGAUACCGCCUGGCCUCUUGAAUCACGCUGUAGUUACUCGGCUGUUAAUGUGUAUCUGUUCAUCUUGCUGCAGACCCAUCAUCAAUCAGGGCUGAUAACAGAAAACAGCAAGGAUGCUGGACUUCAGGAAGUAUCAUCCCUGAAAAACCUGUCUCUUUAUCAAAUACUCUGAGGAGGAGGUGCCCGACUGCUUGACAAAAAGGACAUUCUGAACAGGUGAGUUCUUACAUCAUUGUUGUGAAGGUACUUGAUUGCUUGGACUAACUGGAAAAGGUAUUUUUAAGCCUUUUGUUAUCCAAUCCAUGGCAAUAAUGCUCAUCUAGAAUUGUAUGACUGAUAAAUUCAAACACCAAGUCUUUUUCUCUGCCUAAAUACAUGAAUCAGGUUGACAAUAUUCUUACGAUGAAAUCGUUGUUGGUAAAAGAAGAAAAACACUUUCU
This is a long non-coding RNA of Grus americana (Whooping crane), 3724 nucleotides long. RefSeq lists it as uncharacterized. The record is from RefSeq and is a predicted model, not a curated record. Lineage: Eukaryota; Metazoa; Chordata; Aves; Gruiformes; Gruidae. The transcript has 5 exons.